CUUGUCUCGGAGGACAUUACUGAGGUUCCGGGGGUGAGUUGCGAGUGGCUGGUCUGCUGGCGUCUUUUCGGACGCAUGUGCACGGCUCUCCUUCUCAUCUUCGUUCCUUCUAUCAACCCCUGUGCACUACAAUAGGAUUAGAGCGAAGCGCGUCGUUAAGGGAUUAACCUAGUAUCCGUGGGUCCACCCCGCGGCGAAAGGUUAAUCUGUGAUCGGCGGCGGCGUGGUACCUCGAAGUCCUUGUUUCAAACCAAACCACUAUAUGCGUCUUGUCAGAAUGUUCAGCCCCUUCGUUUGGGCGCUAAAUAAAAUACAACUUUCAACAACGGAUCUCUUGGCUCUCGCAUCGAUGAAGAACGCAGCGAAAUGCGAUAAGUAAUGUGAAUUGCAGAAUUCAGUGAAUCAUCGAAUCUUUGAACGCACCUUGCGCCCUUUGGUAUUCCGAAGGGCACGCCUGUUUGAGUGUCAUGUUCAUCUCAGUUCAACAGCUUUUGCGGCUGGCAUGAACUGGAUUUGGGAGUCUGCUGGCCCCUUCUGCGGGUCGGCUCUCCUUGAAUGCAUGAGUGAGCAUCUGGCUCGCGUCGCUGGUGUGAUAGUUUUUCAUCAUUGGCGGCGCCUGUCUAAUGGGCUUGCUAUCGAACCGUCUUCUCAACGGAGACAUAUCAAUCUUUAUUGACACAUUUGACCUCAAAUCAGGUGGGACUACCCGCUGAACUUAAGCAUAUCAAAAAGCCGAAGGAAG
Molecule: ribosomal RNA, 742 nt
Filed under: Hymenochaete fissurata
Lineage: Eukaryota; Fungi; Basidiomycota; Agaricomycetes; Hymenochaetales; Hymenochaetaceae
Description: eukaryotic LSU rRNA
Rfam family: 5.8S ribosomal RNA (bases 315-468)
Source: RNAcentral